AUUGAACGCUAGCUGUAUGCUUAACACAUGCAAGUCGAACGGCAGCGCGAGGAGCUUGCUCCUUGGCGGCGAGUGGCGGACGGGUGGAGUAACGCGUAGGAAUCUACCAAGUAGAGGGGGGACGAACUCGAGGAAACUACGGGGCUAAAUACCGCAUAAUCCCUUCGGGGGAAAGGCAGGGGGAUCUUCGGACCCUUGCGCUACUUGAUGAGCUUGCGUAGGAUCAGCUUGUUGGUGGGGUAAAGGCCUACCAAGGCGACGAUCCUUAGCUGGUCUGAGAGGAUGAUCAACCACACUGGGACUGAGACACGGCCCAG
RNAcentral lists this ribosomal RNA (317 nucleotides) under uncultured bacterium. RNAcentral's name for it is "bacterial SSU rRNA". It matches the Rfam family "Bacterial small subunit ribosomal RNA", at positions 30 to 334 of the family's 1533-position model. The record is from RNAcentral.